RNAcentral lists this ribosomal RNA (2302 nucleotides) under human gut metagenome. Its description in RNAcentral is "bacterial LSU rRNA". It matches the Rfam family "Bacterial large subunit ribosomal RNA", at positions 627 to 2925 of the family's 2925-position model. The record is from RNAcentral.
GUUACUCUACCGUGCGAGGUUAAGCGAAAGCGUAGCCGUAGUGAAAGCGAGGCUUAAUAGGCCGACUAGUACGUUGGAGUAGACCCGAAACCGGGUGAUCUAUCCAUGAGCAGGUUGAAGCAAGGGUAAAGCCUUGUGGAGGACCGAACCGUCAACGGCUGAAAACGUUCCGGAUGACUUGUGGAUAGGGGUGAAAGGUCAAUCAAACCCGGUGAUAGCUGGUUCUCCCCGAAAUAUAUUGAGGUAUAGCCUCGGGAAUUGAUUAGCGGAGGUAAAGCACUGACAGAGCUAGGGGUCCUACCAGAUUACCAAACUCUAUCAAACUCAGAAUGCCGCUUAAUCGUAUCCCGGGAGUCAGACGGCGGGUGCGAAGGUUCGUCGUCAAAAGGGAAACAGCCCAGACCAACAGCUAAGGUCUCCAAAUCCAUGCUCAGUGGUGAAGGUAGUGGAACCGUUUAGACAGCCAGGACGUUGGCUUAGAAGCAGCCAUCGUUUAAAGAAAGCGUAAUAGCUCACUGGUCUAAUGGCUCUGCGCCGAAAAUGUAACGGGGCUAAGCAUGGUACCGAAGCUUUGGCAAUCUCCUUUGGAGAUUGGGUAGGGGAGCGUUCGCUGCGGGCUGAAGGUGUAUCGGAAGGUAUGCUGGACUGCAGUGAAGUGAUUAUGCUGACAUGAGUAACGAUAAAAUAUGUGAAAAACAUAUUCGCCGAAAACCCGAGGUUUCCUGGGUAAAGGUAAUCUUCCCAGGGUUAGUCGGAUCCUAAGGUGAGGGUGAAAGCCGUAACCGAUGGAAAACAGGUUAAUAUUCCUGUACUUGUUGUGUAGCGCGAUGGAGGGACGCAGGAAGAUAGGCGGGCCGGGUGUUGGAUAUCCCGGUGCAAGCGUGUAGGAAUAUCCGGUAGGCAAAUCCGCCGGACGAAUCUGAGACGCGAGUCCGUGGGCGCAAGCCCUGAAGCCGUUGAGUCUAUGCUGCCUAGAAAAGCUCCUAAGUUUAUCCACAGCAAUCCGUACCGCAAACCAACUCAGGUGGGUGGGAUGAACAAUCCAAGGCGCUCGAGAGAACUCUGGCCAAGGAACUCGGCAAAAUAACCCCGUAACUUCGGAAGAAGGGGUGCUCUCUAGGGUGACAUGUUUAACAUAUGAAGCCCCGGGGAGCCGCAGUGAAUUGGUGGUGGCGACUGUUUACUAAAAACAUAGGUCUGUGCGAAGUCCUAAAGACGACGUAUACGGACUGACGCCUGCCCGGUGCUGGAAGGUUAAAAGGAGGGGUCAGCGCAAGCAAAGCUCCGAAUUGAAGCCCCAGUAAACGGCGGCCGUAACUAUAACGGUCCUAAGGUAGCGAAAUUCCUUGUCGGGUAAGUUCCGACCUGCACGAAUGGCGUAACGAUCUCCACACUGUCUCGGCCAGAGACUCGGUGAAAUUGCAGUCGCGGUGAAAAUUCCGUGUACCCGCAGAAAGACGGAAAGACCCUGUGCACCUUUACUAUAGCUUGACAUUGGAUUUUGGGCCUGCAUGUGUAGGAUAGGUGGGAGGCUGUGAACCCUGUACGCCAGUAUGGGGGGAGCCAUCCUUGAAAUACCACCCUUGCAUGUUUAAGAUCCUAACUUCUUCCGGUUAUCCCGGAGAAAGACAGUGUCUGGCGGGUAGUUUGACUGGGGCGGUCGCCUCCUAAAGUGUAACGGAGGCAUGCAAAGGUUCCCUCAGCCUGAUCGGAAACCAGGCGCUGAGUGCAAACGCAUAAGGGAGCUUGACUGUAAGAGAGACAUCUCGAACAGGAACGAAAGUUGGCGUUAGUGAUCCGGUGGUCCCGAAUGGAAGGGCCAUCGCUCAUUGGAUAAAAGGUACGCCGGGGAUAACAGGCUGAUCGCAUCCAAGAGUUCACAUCGACGAUGCGGUUUGGCACCUCGAUGUCGGCUCAUCACAUCCUGGGGCUGAAGCAGGUCCCAAGGGUACGGCUGUUCGCCGUUUAAAGUGGUACGCGAGCUGGGUUUAAAACGUCGUGAGACAGUUUGGUCCCUAUCUUCUGUGGGCGAAGGAGAAUUGAGAGGGCCUGUCCCUAGUACGAGAGGACCGGGAUGGACGCACCCCUGGUGAUCCUGUUGUCGCGCCAGCGGCAUAGCAGGGUAGCUAUGUGCGGAAGGGAUAACCGCUGAAAGCAUCUAAGCGGGAAGCCUGCCUCAAGAUAAGUUCUCCCCUCGAAAGAGCUGAAGGGCCCGGGUAGACUACCCGGUCGAUAGGCUGGAGGUGUAAGCGCGGCGACGUGCUCAGCUGACCAGUACUAAUAGCCCGAGCGGCUUAUUUUU